UUGGAAAUACCAUUGACUAAUUUCUCCCAUGUUUUGUUGUUGGGUUUUGUUUUCCCCUUAUUUUCUUCCAUAUUUAGAGCAGCCAGACAGAUGAAAAGAUCUUAACACCCUGAAUGUUUAGCAUGCUGAGCAGUGCCUGGAAGCAAGCUUCAUCACAACGUGAACAUUUAGAAGCCCUUGUUACUGGAACAGCAGCUUUUUAUGACACAGGCAAGAAUUAAGCACCAGAGAAGCAACAGCUUCGUUUGAAAAAUCCAGGAUGGAUUCCAGAAGGACUGCAUCAGGACUUUAUGCUGCCACCUCUAAAGGACUUCUAAGCAGUGCAGCAGCUUCCAGGGUCACCACCAAAAUGAUUUAAAACAUGAGAUGUGGCAAUCACAACUACAGAAGCUGACUUUUACAGAUGGGAAAACUGACAUCCAGACAUUUUGACAGGACAGUCUUCCACCACCACUCAGCAUCAAAAAAACCCUUAUGUUUAUUUGCUUAUCAUAAUGACUGCAGGCAAACGAUCACAGAAGUUAGUAGAAAGCAAGCAUGCAGGACAGCAAUUCAGCAUCAGAGAGGAACAGGAAAUAGCACUUGUUAGCACCCUGCAUCCAAAUUCAUCAAAGCAGUUUACAAACUUCAUUGAAACUCAGCCUUGGCACAAAUCUGUUAGGCAAGGAAAUGUUAUUGCCAGUAUUUCCCAGAUGUAAAUGCAGUGACAGAGACACAGGUCACUAGAAGACACUGACAGAGUUAACAGUACUGCUCCACUAGCUGAUACCCACUCCCACAUCUAGGCACUAAUGCAGCCUGGAUGCUGAAGCAAUGCAGAAGAGCUUCCUGUCCAUUCACAAGUAUAACAACAGUCAGCAACAAGUGAAAUUGAGUUGGACACAGCUCUUCCUCUCUUGCUGGAAGAACUUCACUAAGAAGCCUUACACAGACAUGGCUGAAACUCACAGAGCAGCUGGCUGCCUAAUGUCUUAGUCCUGAGCCAACUUCUUCACCCAGGACCUAUUUUCUAGGGGACAACACAGAUGCACCACAGCUGGACCACCACCUCUGAGUUGUUCUCAAACCACUGGAUUCUGAUUUUGUUUAUAGCAAUACAUCUGCAGCCAUUAAUUCAAAUACUCCAUUUCCAUUAAAAGACAUAUUUGAAUACUUGUUCAAUUAUGUGUAUUUGGCUCAGAAGGCUGGGACGGUGUUCUUCAGGCUCCAAGAGCUUGGCUAUCUAAGAAACAAACAAUGUAGCCCAGAAAUCCCAGCACUGGCUUGGCUCUGCAAUCAGUUUGUAACUGCUGCUACUCACUCAUGCACUGAACCCACCACUUGUCAUGGUGCCACGGGUAUGUUUCUAAAGAGGUCCACCUCAAGGUAGGGCUGUAAGUCAAUCAAGAACCCAGCUGGGGCCUGGCUGUGGGCUGAUCAGUAAUUCAGGUUACUGAAUUACCACUCCCACAGAGGAAACCUCUGAUGGUAGCAUUGCCUUUUUUUUUCCCAAGGGUAAAGCUCACCUGACAACAGUCAAUGCUCACUGUAAAGGUACACCGCUCUUUCCAUUACCACAUCUGAUCUAAGAGGUGGCAGAAUUGAGAAGGUCUAGUGUUGGUGUAACUGUAUAAUUACUGUUAAUAAAUACCAGUUGGAUUAAAUCACAUUGUGCCUCAGAAGCCACUCUUGCUGGGGAAAUUGCUUACAGCUUCAGACAGCAGCCUAAUUUCCAUUAAUACCACAACCCAAAUGCAGUUAAGUGACAUUCUCAUGAGCACUUUCUGACUGCCAGGUUUGCUGCAAGCCUUUCUCUUCCUGCAAGGCAAUGAAUCUCUGAUGCUGGCAAUUUGCUUGGAAGCAUCCUUUCUGUGCAAAUGCAGGAAAUAUUUCUGAAUUACUUCUAAGAGUUGUGCUAUUUCACAUCCAAA
Pogoniulus pusillus (Red-fronted tinkerbird) is the source of this 1910-nucleotide long non-coding RNA. RefSeq lists it as uncharacterized. The record is from RefSeq and is a predicted model, not a curated record. The transcript has 4 exons. Lineage: Eukaryota; Metazoa; Chordata; Aves; Piciformes; Lybiidae.